Molecule: ribosomal RNA, 778 nt
Filed under: Pseudomonas aeruginosa
Lineage: Bacteria; Pseudomonadati; Pseudomonadota; Gammaproteobacteria; Pseudomonadales; Pseudomonadaceae
Description: partial 23S ribosomal RNA
Rfam family: Bacterial large subunit ribosomal RNA
Source: RNAcentral
UAGGACGGAGCACGAGAAACUUUGUCUGAACAUGGGGGGACCAUCCUCCAAGGCUAAAUACUACUGACUGACCGAUAGUGAACCAGUACCGUGAGGGAAAGGCGAAAAGAACCCCGGAGAGGGGAGUGAAAUAGAACCUGAAACCGUAUGCGUACAAGCAGUGGGAGCCUACUUGUUAGGUGACUGCGUACCUUUUGUAUAAUGGGUCAGCGACUUAUAUUCAGUGGCAAGCUUAACCGUAUAGGGUAGGCGUAGCGAAAGCGAGUCUUAAUAGGGCGUUUAGUCGCUGGGUAUAGACCCGAAACCGGGCGAUCUAUCCAUGAGCAGGUUGAAGGUUAGGUAACACUGACUGGAGGACCGAACCCACUCCCGUUGAAAAGGUAGGGGAUGACUUGUGGAUCGGAGUGAAAGGCUAAUCAAGCUCGGAGAUAGCUGGUUCUCCUCGAAAGCUAUUUAGGUAGCGCCUCAUGUAUCACUCUGGGGGGUAGAGCACUGUUUCGGCUAGGGGGUCAUCCCGACUUACCAAACCGAUGCAAACUCCGAAUACCCAGAAGUGCCGAGCAUGGGAGACACACGGCGGGUGCUAACGUCCGUCGUGAAAAGGGAAACAACCCAGACCGCCAGCUAAGGUCCCAAAGUUGUGGUUAAGUGGUAAACGAUGUGGGAAGGCUUAGACAGCUAGGAGGUUGGCUUAGAAGCAGCCAUCCUUUAAAGAAAGCGUAAUAGCUCACUAGUCGAGUCGGCCUGCGCGGAAGAUGUAACGGGGCUCAAACCACAC